This 380-nucleotide ribosomal RNA is filed under the name uncultured eukaryote. RNAcentral's name for it is "SSU rRNA". It matches the Rfam family "Eukaryotic small subunit ribosomal RNA", at positions 587 to 972 of the family's 1831-position model. The record is from RNAcentral.
AGCUCCAAUAGCGUAUAUUUAAGUUGUUGCAGUUAAAAAGCUCGUAGUUGGAUUUCGGGUGGGAGCCGUGUGGUAAGCACUUUGUGUUGUACUGCCGGCACCCUCCCUGCUGCCGGGGACAGGCUGCUGAUCUUAACUGGUUGGCACCUGGAGUCGGCGAGAUUACUUUGAGUAAAUUAGAGUGUUCAAAGCAGGCCUACGCUCUGAAUACAUUAGCAUGGAAUAACACGAUAGGACUCUGGCCUAUCUAGUUGGUCUGUGGGACCGGAGUAAUGAUUAAGAGGGACAGUCGGGGGCAUUCAUAUUUCAUUGUCAGAGGUGAAAUUCUUGGAUUUAUGAAAGAUGAACUUCUGCGAAAGCAUUUGCCAAGGAUGUUUUCA